ACCGGGGAGCCGCGGCCUCCCGCCUGCCGGAGCGGGUUAUCCCUGCGCCUCGCCUGCCCCCCCCACAUGAUCCGCGGGGCUGGGGUUUGGGAGCUCGGGUACCGCCGUGCGGGCCCAUCCCUGGCCGGUACCUUACAGCCAGGAGCCGUCAGGCCGCGGGAAAUGAGGUGGGAUUUUUGUCCCGGGCUCAUUUAGGGUGUCUUCGUUUUGUGGCCCACUUUUUUUUUCUUUUUUGCAGGAGGCGUGGGGUCCCAGGAAACACCCUGGAGCAUUGCCAGGUGCCAGAGUCCAACCCGGCUACACUCCCAGAGAACCUUUGCCUGCUACAGUUAGGCUAAACAAGCAACAUCAAACAAACGAUCUGUGAAAAGAAAAACAGCCAUAAUCACGUUUCCAGCCAACACUCUGCUGACCCAUGAUACAGGAAAAAUGCAGAGGAUUAGGAACGCUUUCCCUGGUUGCUCAGGCAACAGCAAGACAUGGGAAUAUGAAAAGGACUUCAGCAGACGUCAGCAGAGGGGACAGCGCUGCGUACGAUUCUUGGAGGAGCCAGGAAAAUAAGAGGAAGGGACUCUGACCGUGGAGUCAAACUGCAGAAUCCAAGGCAGAUUCCUUGAUCUGGGAGUGUCCUCCCAGCUGCCGACGUACAGAGCAUCUAACCCCAGCACCCAACAGGAGAGCUGCUGGUGGAGCUUCAGCCUGCACUGCACAGCCCCCAGAGCUCUCCCAGCACAGAUUGAGGGGGCAGAUGCAGUUUGGGGUGACCUCGGGCAGGCAGAGCUGUGUCCCUGCCUUGGCUGGCAGAGGUCAGCAAGACCAGCGUUGGAGGGGUCAGAAGAGUCUUCUUUCACAAUUACACUCAGCUGGAAGCCAAAUCACUACAGAAUCUAGCAAAUUAAUAAGGGGAGAAAAAAGGCUUUGCUGUUUCUCCUAAGAUACUUUCUCUGUUGCUCAAGAAGGUGUAAAAGCCGCUGCUGCAUAACGCAGGAAAUUUUCCCAGCAAUUCCCAGCAGAGGACAGCAAAUCCUAACGCCACAUUUUCUGCCUCAGCUUUGUACAGGAAUCUGCUCAGCUCUGUCCAUUCAAAACCACCACACACCUCUGGGCUGCUUCAACCUCCCUCCUUGAGAGCUCCAGAGCAGCUGAAAGUUUACAGGGACCAGUAAAGAUUUCUCUGGAUUUUUUUUUUCUUUUAGGCGA
Molecule: long non-coding RNA, 1200 nt
Organism: Hirundo rustica (Barn swallow)
Lineage: Eukaryota; Metazoa; Chordata; Aves; Passeriformes; Hirundinidae
Exons: 3
Source: RefSeq, a predicted model, not a curated record